RNAcentral lists this non-coding RNA (239 nucleotides) under Alkaliphilus oremlandii. RNAcentral's name for it is "T-box sequence". It matches the Rfam family "T-box leader". From Rfam's summary of the family: Uncharged tRNA acts as the effector for transcription antitermination of genes in the T-box leader family. T-boxes are found upstream of many aminoacyl-tRNA synthetase genes and some amino acid biosynthetic genes usually in Gram-positive bacteria. The record is from RNAcentral. Lineage: Bacteria; Bacillati; Bacillota; Clostridia; Peptostreptococcales; Natronincolaceae.
CUAAAAGCGUUGAUGAAGAGAAACUUAUCUCAGAUUAUUUACAGAGAGUUGGGUACGGUGGAAACCAACAAUAACAGGAUAAGAUAUAUUCACUUCUAAGCUGGUUUGCUGAACGGAAAUUCAAGUAGGUGAACCCGAAUGCCCAUCGUUAUCAGGGAUAGGACUGUUAGGUCUGAUUGAGUGAUGACUUCGUCAUAAUUAGGGUGGUACCGCGCGGAAUAAUAUCCUUCGUCCCUAUA